This 472-nucleotide ribosomal RNA is filed under the name uncultured bacterium. RNAcentral describes it as "bacterial SSU rRNA". It matches the Rfam family "Bacterial small subunit ribosomal RNA", at positions 62 to 543 of the family's 1533-position model. The record is from RNAcentral.
UCGAACGGUGAACCGGGCUUCGGCCCGGGGAUCAGUGGCGAACGGGUGCGUAACACGUGGGCAACCUGCCCCCGACCCUGGGAUAACCCCGGGAAACCGGAGCUAAUACCGGAUACUCUCCUCCGAUCUCCUGAUCGGAAGAGGAAAGGUCCGCCGGUCGGGGAUGGGCCCGCGGCCUAUCAGCUUGUUGGUGGGGUAACGGCCUACCAAGGCGACGACGGGUAGCUGGUCUGAGAGGACGACCAGCCACACUGGGACUGAGACACGGCCCAGACUCCUACGGGAGGCAGCAGUGGGGAAUCUUGCGCAAUGGGCGAAAGCCUGACGCAGCGACACCGCGUGGGGGACGAAGGCCUUUCAGGUCGUAAACCCCUUUCGGCAGGGACGAAGCGAUACCGUGACGGUACCUGCAGAAGAAGCCUCGGCUAACUACGUGCCAGCAGCCGCGGUAACACGUAGGAGGCGAGCGUUG